UCCCAGCAGCAGACCGCCCGCGCGCGAGGGGAAGGGCCGCCCCGUGACGUCAUCGCGCGCCCUGAUUGGCCGCCGCUUGGCAUCGGCCUCCAUUUUGUGCGCUGGUUUUUAUUUCGCCUGCGUCACAGGGACGGAGCGUCUGUGUAGAUACAAUGAGCUGCCGUGUAUUCAUUGGUCGAUUAAGCCCUCAUGCCAGAGAGAGAGAUGUGGAGAAAUUCUUCAAAGGAUAUGGGCGAAUAAAAGAAAUUGAUCUGAAGAAUGGGUUUGGGUUCGUGGAAUUUGAGGAUCACAGGGAUGCAGACGAUGCUGUUUAUGAACUGGAUGGUAAAGAACUGUGUAGUGAAAGAGUUACAGUUGAACAUGCAAGAGCACGACCUAGAGGAGGGCGUGGAGGAGGACGAUACCAGGGUCGCUUUAGCCCACGGCGCCCACGUAGUGAGGCAAGGAAUGGACCUCCAGUUCGCACAGACAACAGACUGAUAGUUGAGAAUUUGUCUUCAAGAGUUAGUUGGCAGGUAUGUUGCAUAUAACUAUACUUAAUUCUGUUAAUUCAUCUGUCAUAAUUAAAAUUUGUUCUGAGAUGAAAAAUAAUGAAUCUGACAAAAGAGCUAAUGGUUAGCUGCAAGCAGGAAGUAAAGCAAGUAGGUAUGUUAUAUAUUGCUGGUGAAGACCUACAUACAGGAUAGCCAAAAUCUGCAAAAGCAAGCACUGCAAAAAUGUAACUGAAAUUUGCCUUGUCUGUGGAAUGAGUGGAAUUAGUUAAUGGUUUUACAAAGUUUAAUGCAAAAUGGAUUUGUGUGUGUGCAUGUGUGUGUUUAUGGGGCUUGGAGGAGGAAGAAGGAAGUGGGGUGGUAUUAAUGUGUAUAAUGAAAGAUUAAUUUUAAGCAAAUUGAUUGGCACACAAAGGUGCAAUUUUUUUUAGAUGGUGCUGUUAUUUAUGUUUUCUUCCUAGUGGUAUCUUGGAUCUUUAGGAAACUGCAAAAACCUCGGCCUGCCUUUUAUGUAAAAUCUUGUCAGGUGUGCUUGUUUAAUAUAAUUACUCAUUCCCAAAUUUGCCUUUUAACUGUAUGUGAAAGUGUUCGUAAACAUUUAUUGUAGUGAAACGAGCCUUUAUUGUAAAUGUUGUCCUUCAGUUUCCAUUUUUCCGAAGCUGAUGACUUAAUACUGGAUUUGAUUCCAUGGUGAGCACCUGCUCCACAAUCCUAUCAAUCUUAAAUAAGGCUGGGUAUUUAAAGGAUAUUUCUGCUUUGCACCCAAUGCCAAUCUUGACAUUUUUUCGGCCAUAUGCAUGUGCCAACUAGAAAUUGUGGAAUAGUGUCAGGGUUCAACUCUAAUGUAGAUUAGCUUUUUCUUUCUUAAUACGACUAAGGUUGGCUAAAGCCAACCUAUUUGAAAUCCUCCAUUAGUACUAUUAAGAGCCCAUGACUUCCUUUUUGGAAAUAGUGGUUGGUCAUUUUUAAAUAUUAAAGGCAGUGAGGGUCAUUUGUGCAGACAAUUUGCCAAAGCUAAGCCUGAAUUCUUGACUCCUGGAAGGAAUGGUAGCAAGGAAAAUUGAUUCAAAUAUGUACAAUACUGAACUUUUUAAAUUGUCCAUUUACAAGAUUUUCAUAAUACUCUAGCUUCAAGAAUAUUUAACAAUGACUCUGUGAUUUAAGUAAUUUGUCUUUGAAAGCCAUUAGUUUGACAUUUUUGCUUGGUUCUGUGUUGAAUUGUGUACAAACCUUUUAACCAAAUAUUAAAACCUUUAUUUACCAGCCUCUCGUAUCGUUGGCCUUGUGACGAGUGACGUUUUCCUAAUCGCUCUGGCUUGGUCUCUUGGUGGGCCUAGUUGAAUUGCCAGUCCUACGUUUCAUUCAGUUGGUGAUCUGUAUUAUGCUGGUCUGACCAACAUUGGUGGGCACUAGCUUAAGUGCUCGGGUUCGUUCCUGCGCCUCUGAAAAUGCUGGUAACGAAUUGUCCUAAAGUCAAAGUGUGAGAGCUGUCUAAACUAAGGUCCUUGAUUGAAAGAAAUACGCUAGUAGGUUUAUUUGGAAGCUCGAUUUGGAGUGAGUGAGGCGUCCUUGAUAACAACACAAGAUUUAGCAAUUCCUGUUCCCAUGGCGCCGCCAAAAUCCACCUUUAGGAUGGGUGAUGUCCGGGAGGGCUCACGUGGAGCAGGUGCUGAAGAGCACUAUCGUGUCGUCAGUCGUGAUGAUACCUCUGCAAGUUCUUCUUGCAUUUGCCUGGUUGAAUAGCCUAGGGAAUUGUGCGGGAAGGUAAUAAAUUUUAAUGAAUUAGCUUUGGCUUCAUUUGUAGUGAUUUUAUAAAAGACAGUGGGUGUAAUGCAUGUGAUUUUCUAACCUAAUUUAUUUUAUUUUAUGUAGGAUCUGAAGGAUUACAUGAGACAGGCUGGAGAAGUUACCUUUGCAGAUGCACACCGGCACAAAAUGAAUGAAGGGGUGGUUGAGUUUGCCUCAUACAGUGAUAUGAAGAAUGCAAUUGAUAAACUGUCUGGCACAGAAAUAAA
Molecule: RNA transcript, 2506 nt
Organism: Hypanus sabinus (Atlantic stingray)
Lineage: Eukaryota; Metazoa; Chordata; Chondrichthyes; Myliobatiformes; Dasyatidae
Gene name: serine/arginine-rich splicing factor 5-like
Exons: 6
Source: RefSeq, a predicted model, not a curated record